GAUGAACGCUGGCGGCGUGCCUAAUACAUGCAAGUCGAGCGAAUGGAUUAAGAGCUUGCUCUUAUGAAGUUAGCGGCGGACGGGUGAGUAACACGUGGGUAACCUGCCCAUAAGACUGGGAUAACUCCGGGAAACCGGGGCUAAUACCGGAUAACAUUUUGAACCGCAUGGUUCGAAAUUGAAAGGCGGCUUCGGCUGUCACUUAUGGAUGGACCCGCGUCGCAUUAGCUAGUUGGUGAGGUAACGGCUCACCAAGGCAACGAUGCGUAGCCGACCUGGGAGGGUGAUCGGCCACACUGGGACUGAGACACGGCCCAGACUCCUACGGAAGGCAGCAGUAGGGAAUCUUCCGCAAUGGACGAAAGUCUGACGGAGCAACGCCGCGUGAGUGAUGGAGGCUUUCGGGUCGUAAAACUCUGUUGUUAGGGAAGAACAAGUGCUAGUUGAAUAAGCUGGCACCUUGACGGUACCUAACCAGAAAGCCACGGCUAAUUCUGUGCCAGCCGCCGCGGUAA
RNAcentral lists this ribosomal RNA (515 nucleotides) under uncultured bacterium. RNAcentral describes it as "partial 16S ribosomal RNA". It matches the Rfam family "Bacterial small subunit ribosomal RNA", at positions 28 to 523 of the family's 1533-position model. The record is from RNAcentral.